This 484-nucleotide ribosomal RNA is filed under the name uncultured eukaryote. Its description in RNAcentral is "bacterial SSU rRNA". It matches the Rfam family "Eukaryotic small subunit ribosomal RNA", at positions 592 to 961 of the family's 1831-position model. The record is from RNAcentral.
CAAUAGCGUAUAUUAAAGUUGUUGCAGUUAAAAGCUCGUAGUUGGAUUUCUGGCUGGAGCGAUCGGUCCGCCCCGCAAGGGGUGUGUACUAGCGUCGUCUCCGACCAUCCUUGUGGGAACUGUGCGGCCGUUAACUCGGUUGUAUAUGGGAACACAUCGUUUACUGUGAAAAAUUAGAGUGUUUAAAGCAGGCUUAAGCCGUUGAAUACAUUAGCAUGGAAUAAUAAGAUAAGACUUGGGUCAUUAUUUUGUUGGUUUGCGGAUCGAGGUAAUGAUUAAUAGGGAUAGUUGGGGGUAUUCAUAUUUAAUUGUCAGAGGUGAAAUUCUUGGGUUAUUAGUAAGAAUAUACGUAACGUACGGAACGAACGACUUAACUUAACCGGAAAGUAGUUUUUCGUUUACUUAAUUUAACUAACGAAACGGAAAACGGUUAAAAGGGGUUAAGGGGUACGUAACGGAAACGGAACGUACUACGAAGUAACCU